Molecule: ribosomal RNA, 1296 nt
Filed under: uncultured fungus
Lineage: Eukaryota; Fungi
Description: eukaryotic LSU rRNA
Rfam family: Eukaryotic large subunit ribosomal RNA (bases 654-1296)
Source: RNAcentral
AAGUCGUAACAAGGUUUCCGUAGGUGAACCUGCGGAAGGAUCAUUAGAGAAAGAAAACCGUGGUCGUGCUGGUUCUCACAAGUGCACACCACAUCUUCCUUCAUUCACCCCUUGUGCACCUCGAAGCUCUCUCUUUUGAGAGCUUUUUAUCACACACACCCUUUUGAACCAGUCGAGAACGUGACCGCGUAUUUUAAUACAACUAUCAACAACGGAUCUCUUGGCAUCCCACUCGAUGAAGAACGCAGCGAAUUGCGAUAAGUAAUGUGAAUUGCAGAAUUCAGUGAAUCAUCGAAUCUUUGAACGCACCUUGCACCCUCCAGUAUUCUGGAGGGUAUGCCCGGUUGAGUAUCACGAACACAUCAAGCCUCUGGUUUCUCAUUGGAAAGGUCUGUGCAUUCGGCGAAAGCGUCCAACGUCUGGGGCGCCGUGGUAGCUGAUUCCAGACUUGGGAGCCGGAAGGUAUUGGACUUGAGCGCCCCAUAUGCCGGUUCUGGUUGAAUCGGCUCGCUCAAAGUGAAUUAGCUGGUGNUCCUUUCCACGAACGGUUACCACUCGACGUGAUAAGCAUCAUUCCGUCGGGGANACCCUUGUGGGUGGCCGUCCUAGGAUUUGGGGCCGCUCCUAAUCGUCUUUGGACAAGUCAUAUCGUCCGAUCUCAACUCGGGUAGGACUACCCGCCGAACUUAAGCAUAUCAAUAAGCGGAGGAAAAGAAACUANCAAGGAUUCCCCUAGUAACGGCGAGUGAAGCGGGAAGAGCUCAAAUUUUAANUCUGGCGUCCUCGGNUCGUCCGAAUUGUAAUCUAGAGAAGUGUUUUCCGUGCCGGACNCACCAUAAGUUACCUCGAACGGUACAUCAUAGAGGGUGAGAAUCCCGUAUGUUGGUGGGGCGCCCGGUGCUCUGUGAUGCGCUCUCGACGAGUCGAGUUGUUUGGGAAUGCAGCUCAAAACGGGAGGUAAAUUCCUUCUAAAGCUAAAUACGUUGGGAUGACCGAUAGCGAACAAGUACCGUGAGGGAAAGAUGAAAAGCACUUUGGAAAGAGAGUUAAACAGUACGUGAAAUUGUUGGUAGGGAAACGCUUGAAGUCAGUCGCGUCUCCUGGAAUUCAGCCUGGCUCCUGCCUGGUGCAUUUUCCAGUUGAUGGGCCAGCGUCCAUUUCGUCCGUUGGAGAAGGGCGGUUUGAAUGUGGCAGCUUCUGCUGUGUUAUAGCUUACCGUCGCACACGACGGAUGGGAUGGAACCUACGGCACGCCUUUUGGUGGUGCUCGUGUUGGCGUAAUGGCUUUAAACGACC